CUUAGGCGUUGUUGGGUAGGGGAGCGUUCUGUAAGCCGUUGAAGGUGUGCUGUGAGGCAUGCUGGAGGUAUCAGAAGUGCGAAUGCUGACAUAAGUAACGAUAAAGCGGGUGAAAAGCCCGCUCGCCGGAAGACCAAGGGUUCCUGUCCAACGUUAAUCGGGGCAGGGUGAGUCGACCCCUAAGGCGAGGCCGAAAGGCGUAGUCGAUGGGAAACAGGUUAAUAUUCCUGUACUUGGUGUUACUGCGAAGGGGGGACGGAGAAGGCUAUGUUAGCCGGGCGACGGUUGUCC
This 291-nucleotide ribosomal RNA is filed under the name Enterobacter asburiae. RNAcentral describes it as "partial 23S ribosomal RNA". It matches the Rfam family "Bacterial large subunit ribosomal RNA", at positions 1213 to 1507 of the family's 2925-position model. The record is from RNAcentral. Lineage: Bacteria; Pseudomonadati; Pseudomonadota; Gammaproteobacteria; Enterobacterales; Enterobacteriaceae.